UACGGAGGGUGCAAGCGUUAUCCGGAUUCACUGGGUUUAAAGGGUGCGUAGGCGGGCAGGUAAGUCAGUGGUGAAAUCUCCGGGCUUAACCCGGAAACUGCCGUUGAUACUAUCUGUCUUGAAUAUCGUGGAGGUAAGCGGAAUAUGUCAUGUAGCGGUGAAAUGCUUAGAUAUGACAUAGAACACCCAUUGCGAAGGCAGCUUACUACGCGAUCAUUGACGCUGAGGCACGAAAGCGUGGGGAGCAAACAGG
RNAcentral lists this ribosomal RNA (253 nucleotides) under uncultured bacterium. Its description in RNAcentral is "partial 16S ribosomal RNA". It matches the Rfam family "Bacterial small subunit ribosomal RNA", at positions 524 to 776 of the family's 1533-position model. The record is from RNAcentral.